This is a long non-coding RNA of Rana temporaria (common frog), 315 nucleotides long. RefSeq lists it as uncharacterized. Lineage: Eukaryota; Metazoa; Chordata; Amphibia; Anura; Ranidae. The transcript has 4 exons. The record is from RefSeq and is a predicted model, not a curated record.
CAGAUUCCACCUACAAGGGGAAUGCCAUUUUUUUUAAAGGUUGACCUCUUAUCAUUAUUAUUACUACAGGUAUUAAAAACUUUUAACAGUUACCUUUUUAAAAUGUUUCCUAAUUCUUCCAUUUCCAUUUAGAGAGAACACAAAAAUGAAAACGAUUUCGAACAAGUACCUCUGCAGGAAUUUCCAGCUCAAGUGAGGACCCCUCCAUCCAACAAUUGUCACCAGAAUGAAGAAGAGAAUGGAGAAGGACUGAAUGAAGAAGAGAAUGGAGAAGGACUGAAUGAAGAAGAGAAUGGAGAAGGACUGAAUGAAGAA